RNAcentral lists this long non-coding RNA (402 nucleotides) under Ananas comosus (pineapple). Its description in RNAcentral is "long non-coding RNA (ACOM_LNC041750)". The record is from RNAcentral. Lineage: Eukaryota; Viridiplantae; Streptophyta; Magnoliopsida; Poales; Bromeliaceae.
CAAUCGCAUCUUCAACUUAUCCGCGACCCAAGCAUACCGUCGGACCAUUCAUCCAAUUGGUACAACUCUUGCUUAUAACUAUUUUCUUUUCUUUUAUACAAAAUUAAUUUUCUGCUCACUUAUCUCCCAAAUACAGCGGCACCCUUUCCAGUUGAUCCCGCUGCUCCAUUUAUACCAAAAGAAGAACUAGAAGAGAUUUCUGAUAUCCGCUUCCUUCUUCUGUAAUACACUCUGCUUUUCUUUUGACUUUUCUUUUCUUAGUAUACUCAACGCUUACUUUUUCUUUAUUCACUCUUAUCUGCAGUCAAAUCCAUUUCCUCCAUCGAUCCCAGCUUCAGAAAAAAGACCAAUUGAACCUGAAUAAACUAUUCCUCCACCACCUCCAAAGCGACGUAAAUCCGU